RNAcentral lists this long non-coding RNA (567 nucleotides) under Oryctolagus cuniculus (rabbit). Its description in RNAcentral is "lncRNA (ENSOCUG00000037154.1)". Lineage: Eukaryota; Metazoa; Chordata; Mammalia; Lagomorpha; Leporidae. The record is from RNAcentral.
AUGCUACAGUCUGUGCAUCUCGACCACAUCCACGUCCACACGCUACAGUCUGUGCAUCUCGACCACAUCGAUGUCCACACACGCUACAGUCUGUGCAUCUCGACCACAUCGACGUCCACACGCGCUACAGUCUGUGCAUCUCGACCACAUCGACGUCCACACGCUACAGUCUGUGCAUCUCGACCACAUCGACGUCCACACGCACUAGAGUCUGUGCAUCUAGACCACAUCCAUGUCUACACGCUACAGUCUGUGCAUCUCGACCACAUCCAUGUCCACACGCUACAGUCUGUGCAUCUCGACCACAUCCAUGUCCACACGCUACAGUCUGUGCAUCUCGGCCACAUCGACGUCCACACGCUACAGUCUGUGCAUCUCGGCCACAUCGACGUCCACACGCGCUACAGUCUGUGCAUCUCGGCCACAUCGACGUCCACACGCACUACAGUCUGCGAGACAUCAGCACUGGGGCAAUGGGGCAGAGCGGUAGAGGACCUGACGUCUCACAGCGGCCCACCAGCCUGCAGUCGUCUCCAAACAGAAAGUCCAGUCUUUUUUUUUCACUAA